RNAcentral lists this unclassified non-coding RNA (244 nucleotides) under Hevea brasiliensis (rubber tree). The record is from RNAcentral. Lineage: Eukaryota; Viridiplantae; Streptophyta; Magnoliopsida; Malpighiales; Euphorbiaceae.
UAAUCCUAGUUCAAUGUGCUCUUAUCCUUCUAAGCGAACGUGACAACCUGCCAAAGGGAGGAGUUUUCCCCCCAGGUAUUGUAUUUGGCCCUACUGAUCUUCAAGAACGACUCCAACAGAAAGGAAUAUCUUUCGAUGUCAUUUCAAAGAAAGCUCUCCCUGCUUAACUGGUGCAGGCUUCAUCGAGCUCUAGGAAAUAUAACAAAACUUUUACCUGUUUUAAACAAGAUAGUUAUGAUAGGAG